GCAGGAUUGAAUUUCUCCUCCUCGGUGUCGACCGGGUGAUGAACAUAGAUGAGUUCAACGCCAUCUUCGGCUUUGACAGCGCCAGCCAGCAGGAGAUCCCUAGGAACCACAUGCUCUACAACAACAUCAACUUCUGGAGUUCCAUUGCCCUGAACACAGAGCCCUAUAAUUCCAGCAAGUCCAAAUCCAUGGGCAUCACUAGU
RNAcentral lists this unclassified non-coding RNA (203 nucleotides) under Hevea brasiliensis (rubber tree). The record is from RNAcentral. Lineage: Eukaryota; Viridiplantae; Streptophyta; Magnoliopsida; Malpighiales; Euphorbiaceae.